Molecule: ribosomal RNA, 319 nt
Filed under: uncultured bacterium
Lineage: Bacteria
Description: bacterial SSU rRNA
Rfam family: Bacterial small subunit ribosomal RNA
Source: RNAcentral
GAUGAACGCUAGCGACAGGCUUAACACAUGCAAGUCGAGGGGCAGCGGGGGCGAAGCUUGCUUCGCCUGCCGGCGACCGGCGCACGGGUGAGUAACACGUAUGCGACCUGCCCCCCGCAGGGGGAUAACCGGGAGAAAUCCCGACUAAUACCGCGUAACGCCGCGGGGCUGCAUGGCCCCGCGGCCAAAGGAAGCGAUUCCGGCGGGGGAUGGGCAUGCGGCGCAUUAGCUAGUCGGCGGGGUAACGGCCCACCGAGGCGACGAUGCGUAGGGGUUCUGAGAGGAAGGUCCCCCACACUGGUACUGAGACACGGACCAG